AAGUAUUUGUCCAUCUGGUGAAAGAAA
This 27-nucleotide non-coding RNA is filed under the name Cricetulus griseus (Chinese hamster). Lineage: Eukaryota; Metazoa; Chordata; Mammalia; Rodentia; Cricetidae. The record is from RNAcentral.